Molecule: long non-coding RNA, 274 nt
Filed under: Brassica napus (rape)
Lineage: Eukaryota; Viridiplantae; Streptophyta; Magnoliopsida; Brassicales; Brassicaceae
Description: long non-coding RNA (BNAP_LNC006610)
Source: RNAcentral
UGGAAAGAUGGUUUGCUAGACUUAGGGUUUCUAUUUAGGCAAUCAUGAUUAUAGUAGUAUAGAGACUAAGGUUGGAUAUUCUAAAACUCAAACAAAGGAAUAAUCUAUCAACUUCUGUUUGGUUAGAUUAUCUAUUGUCUAGAUCUAAGACCUCAGAUGUCGCUUGUUAGUCUUGAGAAAAUAUAUCGAUUGACGCUAUCAACGAACUGUUAAUUGAUACACCUUUUAGAUCGUCGAUCGAUACAACUACUGAGUUCUCGAUUGACGUUCGUUC